RNAcentral lists this long non-coding RNA (5093 nucleotides) under Octopus vulgaris (common octopus). Lineage: Eukaryota; Metazoa; Mollusca; Cephalopoda; Octopoda; Octopodidae. The record is from RNAcentral.
UGAGUCAAUACAAGACGAUGAUAAAAGACACUUGCCCAACAUGCAAUGCAGUGGCAUCAAAGAUACACUGCGACUGUGAUAUGAACUUUUUAAGUAUUUGACCAUACGCACACACGCAUACACACAUAUACGUAGGUAUAGAUAUGUAAUUAUCAAUAUAUAUAUUUACAUACAAACAUAUGCAUAUAAACACAUCUAUAAGGAGUAAAUAUAUAAACACACAUAUGCAAACGUGUAUAUAUAUAUAUAUAUAUAUAUAUAUAUAUAUAUUAUAUAUAUGUAUGUAUGUAUGUAUAUACACAAACACACACACGCAUACACAUAUAUACAGAUAUUUGCCUAUUUUUAUACAUCAUUCACAUAGUUAUAUAUGUAUACACAAACAUAUAUACAUAUAUGUAUGUGUGUGAAGGCAUACAUUUACAUUGUAUGUCUAUAUAUCUAUCUAGCUAGCUAUCUUUAUAAAUAUGCCUAUAUAUGUAUACAGCAUGGGCAUGGUUAUAUUUAUACACACGUAUAUAUAUAUAUAUAUAUAUAUAUAUAUAUAUAUGCAUAUAUAUGAGCAUACAUACUCGUAUUUAUGCAUAUAUUUAUGAGUGUGCGUGUGUGUUUUUUUAAUACACCACAUAUAUAUAUAUAUAAAUAUAUAUGCUUAUAUAAUAUACUUCUAUAUGCUUGUAUACGUUUGUAUAUAUAUAUACAUAUAUAGGGGAGGGGGAGAGAUGGUGAUGAUAUAUAUAUAAAUCUGUGUGCGUGUCAGAGUGGGAUCUUUCAUUGGCAAUAUGCAUGAAAUAUAUCGAAAGUCUCACUGCCGGAUUUUUUUCCCAUUGAAAUAUACGAGUGUUUUUAAAAUACAUAAGUGCACACACUACGCACGCACCACGCAAAUAUGCGUUUGAAUGCAUUCGUUCGUCUGUUCGUAUGCUUAUGCAUAUUUGUGUAUAUGACACGUGUGUCAAAACACUAUUGCAAUCUAGAGAGGUAAUAUAUUAUUGUUUUCAUCAUUAGCGUGAACAUUAUCUCCGGAGUUACAUCGUUGACUUGCUACUCAUCACCACUACUAUUAUUAUCGUUAUAAUCACUAGUAAACUGAGUCAAGUGAUGUUUGUCUGAACAGGACAAAGUGUUAAAAAAACAUGGUAAAUACAUUUUGGAGAAUUUUAAACAAAGAUUGGCAAAAACACACCAGUUGUGUUCGUGCGUUUUAUUGUGGUCGUGCAUAGUUCGUUCUUAUGUGACAGAUAGCAGCAUGUUCUAGUUGAUGGAAACAAGACACUUGCAGCUUGGUUAUGUCAAUAGCUUGUCGGACGGUUUGAUAAAGAUGAGAAUCACUAAAGCUCAGAAAAUUCAAUUGUAGCAGAUUGACAGUUUAUUGGGAGGAAAGAGGGGUGAGGAAGAGACAAAAGGCUUGAAAGACAGGCGUAUGUGUCGGAGAUGUAUGUGCGACAGACCUUAAGUGACUGUCAAACAGUUAUCCCUAAUCAAAUUCAUUUACCUACCUGCCAAAGAAUUCAUAUCAUCCAAUAGAGUAAUCCUUCAGCGAUGACGAUGUAUACGACGGCGAAGAAAAAGAAAGAGAAACCACUACAACAGCAACAACAUCAACAGGAACCAUUGCAAAUCAAGCCAGCCGUUAGAGUCUGUUCUUCGUAUAUGAUCGAGUUAACUACUCUAUACGAUUUAUCUAUCUCUCUCGCUUUUACUCAAUCAUUCAGUCGCUCUCUCACUCACCCAGUCUCCCUCACACUCAACAACCCCUUCUCUCUCUCUUUAGCUAGUUGGCAUUUCGUUGUUAUUGUAGUUAUUGAUGUUAGUUUAGCUAUCAACACUGAUGUUAUUAUUUUGGUGUGAUUUUUGUUUUGAUAGUGACAUCUCUUUCAAUAAUUGCAACAAUAAUAAUAGUGCAUUCUUAAAUUUUGAAGACUAUUUAACUCUUUCCUUUCUCUCGAUAUAUUUUUUUAUUUUUAUUUUCGCUUUUUGGGGUGAAGAUAAUAGAGAAUAUGAAGCUCUCUCUCUCUUUCUCUCUCUCCUUACCCACAAACAUAAAAAGAGAGAUAGAAAACGAAAGUUAAGUGAAGAGUAUUAGUUCUCUUAUGACUAAAUUGCAGAGGCUGUUCAAUCUUACUAUGGGUGGGUUGUAGGUUGUGGAUACAUAUACACUCCUCACAUUUUGAUCUGUCUCACACUUUGCUUCUUUAUUCAUCACUUCUAUCACUAAUCAUCUUUCCUAUCUUUAAUCUGAUUGAUUUUUUUUUUAAAUGUAUUUUACUCUCUCUCUCUCUCUCUCUGACCCCCUUUAUUGUUCUUUCCCUUUAACUUCUCUAUUAAUCUUAUUCUUUUUCUUCGUAAUUGAAGUGCUCUUUUCUAUUGUGUUCUGUAAUUCUUCUUUCAUUUCUCUUUCCUUUUUGUCUCUCAUGUUCAUAUUUCUCUUUCGGUGUAUCCUCUCUUUAAUUUAGCUUCUUUUCUUUCUUUAUCUUACUCUCAUUUCUCUUGGGUUUUUUUCUUUCUCUUUCUCUAACAUACGUCUCUUUUCGGCCAUUCUAUCUCUCUCUCUCUUUCUCUCUCCACUUUAUUCUUCUAUUAACUCGUUAUCACUUUUUAUCAUCAUUUCCCUUGCCCUCUUUCAUCACUCCCUCUCUGUCAGUAUUUCUAUCUUUCUUUCUCUUCCCAAUUACUUCCUCCCCUUUGUUUCUCCUGCCUUCUUAUUUCCAUUCGCUCAUUACUUACGUUAUCAUUCUUUCGCUGGCAGUUAUUUCAUUUCAUUUUUUAAAAUCUAAUGUUUCGCUGCAUCUCUUAUUUCUACUUUCAAUAUUGGGUCUCUCAGUUUUGUUUUUCAGUUUUCGUGUCCCAUUUAGUUGGGGUUUUUUUCUUCCUCUUUUAUUGACUUGUGCUGUUUUCUUCUUUCACUCUCAUUUCUGUUUCUUUUAUUCUUUCUUUCUCGUCUCAUUUUCACUUCUCACUUCACUGAAUUUUCUCCCUCCUACAUUUCGGAGACCUAAGCUUCAAUGAUUCCUGUUUAACUAUUAUGAUCCAAUCCUCAAAAUUCUCAUUCAGCUGUUUUCUUUCUUAAAGACCAUUUACUUAUCUGUCAAUGUUUCUUUUCAUCUGAUCCAUUUCAAUCAAGCGACCCUGUAUCUUGUCUUUUCUUACACUGCUUCUUCCUUUACCAUCAUCAUCAUCAUCAUCAUAUCACCACGACUAUCUAUCUAUCUAUCUAUCUAUCUAUCUAUCUAUCUAUCUAUCUAUCUAUCUAUCUAUAUAUCUGUCUAUCUAUCUAUCUAAUCUAUCUAUCUAUCUAUCUUGUGUGUGCCUGUGUUAUUGUCAUUAUAAUUUCUUCCUUGAUUUAUUGUUUCUUUUUCUUUCAUUCCUUAGAUCCAUUCUCCUUUUUCGCUCUUUCUCUAUUCUAUUCUUUGUUAUACAUUUCUGUUUCCUCGACUUUUUCUCCUUUUGUAUCUCCUUUUCUCAGUGUAAUCAUCCUUCCUUCUCUGUCUCUCCUGUACAUAUUGUUAUAAUUAGUAUCUCAUUAUGUAUAUACUUGAUUGUGUGUGUAUGCGUAUGUGCGUGUUUACGUUUUGCGAUUUUAGUUCUUUUUUCCUUUCCAUAAUGGUAUUCAUUUCAUUUAUUUAUUUAUUAUUAUUAUUUUUUUUUCAUUUCCUUUCCUAAUAUACCACUUAUAUCCAGUUGCAUUCAUUCAACAAGUCAAAUUGAAGAGAAGCUUCUCGCAGGACUCAACCUUGAUCAAAGUCCGUAUUGUUUCAAUUCGCUGUUAAUUCCUCUUUGCCUUGAAGGUUAAUAUGAAGUUCUUGCUUCCUACAUCGAAUGGAACUUGAUUUCCUGGCCUCAACUUUCAUAAGCUUUCAAUUCUUCGGAGAUGGUAAAUAAUAAUCCUAGGUUUUUGUAGAACUGUGAUUAAGCCAUGUAAAUCAAACAUGAAUAAUGACAACGCCCACCACAUCCAUCGAAACAGAAAGGAAUGGAUAGAUGGAUGGAUGGAAUGAAUGGCAAAAAGAAAGAGAUAAGUUGACAGAACCGUGAAAGAACAUUACGGCGUAGCGGAGUGACAAAUGUAGUGAGUCCUUCCUUGUGUGAGUGGCCUCCUUAACCCUCUCAUGGAGGUAACCCUAUCAGAAAUAGAUGAAUAAGACACAUGGACAGGCGUAGAAACAAUGAAACAAACGGAUAGAUAGACAAUCAUAGGAAUGCGAGAGAUGUAAAGUAAAAGGUGAGAGAAAGAAUGACUGCAUCAGUGAAUGCUUAUAUAUAAAUAUUAAUGUGGGAAUUUGGGUUGACAAAAUCGAUAGCGCAUCAGACAAAAUAACAUGUGGCAUUUAGUUGCGACCAUUUAUUAUGUUCUGAGUUCAAAUUACACCAAGGUCAACUUUUAUUUUCAUUCCUCUUGGAAGUAAAUGAUAAAAUAUGUUUUUGUCAAGUACUGAGGUCAAUUUAUAUUUCAAUAAUGCGUACCAUAUUCUUUAUCUCUUACUCUUUUCAGUCAUUGGACUGCGGCCAUGCUGGGACACCACCUUAAAGGGUUUAGUCGAACGAGUCGACCCCAGUACUUUUUUUUUUUGAAUUUGGUACUCAUGCUAUCAUCUCUUUUGUCGAACCGCUAAAUUAGAGACGUAAACAAACCAACACCGGUUGUCGAGCACACACACACAAACACACGAUGGACUCCCACACGGUUUCUGUCUACCACAUUCAAUGAUGAGGCGUUGGUCGACCUGGGACUAUAGAAGAAAACACUUGCUCAAGGUACUGUGCAGUAGAACAGAACCAGAAAUCUGGAAAGAAAGGGAAAUAUAGAGAUGAAAAUGAAUUCUGGCUGCAAAAUUUAAACUCAGAACUGAGGGAAUGGAACUGGCCACCAAAGAACAUUUUGUCAUUCCAUCACUGAUACUAAGUUCUGAUAUUCCUUAGAAAGUAUCUUGCUCAGGUUUGAAAGGAACUUUUUAAGUUCAGAUCUAUGUGAAUCUUCCUCACAGGGCAGUGGAGACAACAAGGUAAAGUUGACAAACUGGAUGCUUUACUGUUCUGAGAUCAACUUAGCUGAACCAUCUUUACUUGUCUUCUCUUUCUAGUAUGAAUAAAAU